This 438-nucleotide ribosomal RNA is filed under the name uncultured bacterium. RNAcentral describes it as "bacterial SSU rRNA". It matches the Rfam family "Bacterial small subunit ribosomal RNA", at positions 340 to 774 of the family's 1533-position model. The record is from RNAcentral.
UACGGGAGGCAGCAGGGGGAAUAUUGCACAAUGGGCGCAAGCCUGAUGCAGCCAUGCCGCGUGUAUGAAGAAGGCCUUCGGGUUGUAAAGUACUUUCAGUCGUGAGGAAGGUGUUAAGGUUAAUAACCUUAGCAAUUGACGUUAGCGACAGAAGAAGCACCGGCUAACUCCGUGCCAGCAGCCGCGGUAAUACGGAGGGUGCGAGCGUUAAUCGGAAUUACUGGGCGUAAAGGGCACGCAGGCGGUUAAUUAAGUUGGAUGUGAAAUCCCCGGGCUUAACCUGGGAAUGGCAUUCAAGCUGGUUAGCUAGAGUCUUGUAGAGGGGGUAGAAUUCCAUGUGUAGCGGUGAAAUGCGUAGAGAUGUGGAGGAAUACCGGUGGCGAAGGCGGCCCCUGGACAAAGGCUGACGCUCAUGUGCGAAAGCGUGGGGAGCAAACG